RNAcentral lists this ribosomal RNA (888 nucleotides) under Triticum aestivum (bread wheat). Its description in RNAcentral is "partial small subunit ribosomal RNA". Lineage: Eukaryota; Viridiplantae; Streptophyta; Magnoliopsida; Poales; Poaceae. The record is from RNAcentral.
AUGGCUCCUCCGGCGUGGCUCCGGGAUCGAUGCUUUCGGUGUCUCUCCAAAGGUCAUCACGCUCACUCUUGCAGGGACCCAAUUCGGUGCUCAGGAUGCCUUCGUUUCGGCCACAAAGUGCGUUUUUGUCAUGCUCAGCACCGAUCCGAUCUGACUACAAAGCCGCGUGAUGAUGCUGCAAAGCCUAACCCAGCGCCUGCAUCGGAGGUUGACGCAACACCGGUUGACGUGCAAUUGCAACCCGUCCUAGCGGAGGAGACCGAGCUGCUUCGCACUGAGCUGCGCGACUGCCUUGCGCGAGUUGAGAGUGUUUUGGGGAGAGCAGAGGCUGCUCUCGCCAAACUAGAGGUUGUGCCAGCUGUGUCCUCACUUCCUGAGCUUCAGAUCGGGUCUCCUGUUGGGGAGGAAGCAAGCCUCUAUGGACAUUUCUCCCCUCGUGCUACAUCAUGUUCGCCGAUGUCUGUACUGCUCACUGGCCCUGGGUGUGUAGUCAUCGAUAAGGUCAUGGCUCCAGUGCUGGAGAUUAUGCCUGAGUUGCAGGAGCGUUGUGGGGAGCCUACUUCACCUCUUUCAAUGGUGCUUCCGAAGGAGAUGGGGCAGGUGAUGUCUGUGGGUGGCGAGGUUGAUGAGGUAGGUGCGUUGGCACCUAUCUCUGGGGCACAACUACAGGGUUUGCCUCUGCCAUGUGUGCAACUGAAGGCGCCUGAGUCCAUUGUGUCGGUGGUGCCCGUGGCUGAGCAUGUUAAUGCAGUGGUGUCUGUGAGGGAUAAGGUUGAUGAGAUUCUAUUUGAGAUACAAGUCAGCAGCUUGCUCGCACGUUUGGAGGCGGUCAGCCCUGGAUCUGGCAAGAUGAUUGUGGAGAAGGCUCUCAGGAGCAAAACUGAGUGA